RNAcentral lists this long non-coding RNA (559 nucleotides) under Pongo abelii (Sumatran orangutan). RNAcentral describes it as "lincRNA". The record is from RNAcentral. Lineage: Eukaryota; Metazoa; Chordata; Mammalia; Primates; Hominidae.
GUUGCUCAGUACAGUACUCCAGCAGGGCUUAUAUAGACAACCCAAACCCAGCCAAAGCAAACCUCCCCAAAUCCAACAUUUCCUGCAUGUCCAAAAUGGGAGACAGGCGCCUGAGUAACCCGGGGCAAGACGCCGAAAGGAGCCUGUUUGUGUGCUGCGGCCGUGCUGUGACUCUGGAUCUUGUCUUUCAGCCGGCGCCUCUGUUCCUGCCCAGCUGGAUUUGGGGGGCAGCAUUGCCUGGCGCAGGGAGAUCAAAUGAGACUGCAAAGAAGCAUAAAAUGAAUAGACAAUCCAACCAACCAAAGACCGGGGGCAGCAGCAGGCCAGCAAGACGGCAUCUUCUCCUUCCCAGCCUAGAAGCCCUGUGAAAUCGAGGAUCUUCCCCCUAAAACACAUACACACAAGAAAUGUGCAAUCAAGCUGCCACCGCUUGGUAAAAAGCUCAUGGUGCCUAACCAAAAAGGAUCAGGAACAGAUCCUUGAAUCAGCUGUCACUUCUAUAGAAUGGGAUGUUUUUUUUUUCCUUCCUCCUUAACCUGCGCUGGAAAUUGCCGUUGGC